This 285-nucleotide long non-coding RNA is filed under the name Jatropha curcas. RNAcentral's name for it is "long non-coding RNA (JCUR_LNC000959)". Lineage: Eukaryota; Viridiplantae; Streptophyta; Magnoliopsida; Malpighiales; Euphorbiaceae. The record is from RNAcentral.
UCCAAAGUCUCUGGGAACUUGUUCUAAUGCAACCCAAUAUGUGUUUUUUGACAGUGUUCAUCCAUCUCAGGCUGCUAAUCAGGUUCUUGCAGAUGCUCUGCUUGUUCAGGGAUUCUCCCUUCUCUGAAGAGAAUAAAUUACAUCAGUAUAAAAAUCAAUUAUUUAUAAGUGUAAUAUAUCACUUGAAAGUGCUAUUACCUUUCCACUAUUGUCUAUUAUGAAACUUAAUUCUCUACUGUGAGAAGUUUAGUGCAAAAUCAUCUUUUGAAUAUUUUUGCUAGCUCG